RNAcentral lists this ribosomal RNA (528 nucleotides) under uncultured bacterium. Its description in RNAcentral is "bacterial SSU rRNA". It matches the Rfam family "Bacterial small subunit ribosomal RNA", at positions 777 to 1314 of the family's 1533-position model. The record is from RNAcentral.
AAUAGAUACCCUGGUAGUCCACGCCGUAAACGAUGCGCACUAGGUGUCGGGGGGUAUCGACCCCCUCGGUGCCGCAGCCAACGCGAUAAGUGCGCCGCCUGGGGGACUACGGCCGCAAGGCUAAAACUCAAAGGAAUUGACGGGGGGCCCGCACAAGCAGCGGAGCGUGUGGUUUAAUUCGACGCAACGCGAAGAACCUUACCUGGGCUUGACAUGCGCGUGGUACGAGGCCGAAAGGCCGAGGACCCGCAAGGGAGCGCGCACAGAUGCUGCAUGGCUGUCGUCAGCUCGUGCCGUGAGGUGUUGGGUUAAGUCCCGCAACGAGCGCAACCCUCGCUGCCAGUUACGAUGUCUGGCGGGACCGCCGGGUCCAACCCGGAGGAAGGUGGGGAUGACGUCAAGUCAGCACGGCUCUUACGUCCAGGGCUACACACACGCUACAAUGGCCGGUACAACGCGCGGCGAAGGGGCGACCCGGAGCGAAUCGCAGCAAAGCCGGUCUCAGUUGGGAUUGCAGGCUGCAACUCG